GACGUAGGGCGCGAGCGUUGUCCGGAUUUAUUGGGCGUAAAGAGCUCGUAGGCGGCUUGUCGCGUCGGCUGUGAAAUCCCGUGGCUCAACUGCGGGUCUGCAGCCGAUACGGGCAGGCUAGAGUUCGGUAGGGGAGACUGGAAUUCCUGGUGUAGCGGUGAAAUGCGCAGAUAUCAGGAGGAACACCGGUGGCGAAGGCGGGUCUCUGGGCCGAUACUGACGCUGAGGAGCGAAAGCGUGGGGAGCGGACAGG
This 253-nucleotide ribosomal RNA is filed under the name uncultured bacterium. RNAcentral's name for it is "partial 16S ribosomal RNA". It matches the Rfam family "Bacterial small subunit ribosomal RNA", at positions 524 to 776 of the family's 1533-position model. The record is from RNAcentral.